GACGAACGCUGGCGGCGUGCUUAACACAUGCAAGUCGAACGGAAAGGCCCCUUUGGGGGUACUCGAGUGGCGAACGGGUGAGUAACACGUGAGUAACCUGCCCUUGACUUCGGGAUAACUUCAGGAAACUGGGGCUAAUACCGGAUAGGAAUCCUUGCUGCAUGGUGGGGGUUGGAAAGCUUCGGCGGUUUUGGAUGGACUCGCGGCUUAUCAGCUUGUUGGUGGGGUAGUGGCUUACCAAGGCCUUGACGGGUAGCCGGCCUGAGAGGGCGACCGGCCACAUUGGGACUGAGAUACGGCCCAGACUCCUACGGGAGGCAGCAGUGGGGAAUAUUGCACAAUGGGCGGAAGCCUGAUGCAGCAACGCCGCGGGCGGGAGGACGGCCUUCGGGUUGUAAACCGCUUUCAGCAGGGGCGAAGCUUGUGGUGACGGUACCUGCAGAAGAAGCACCGGCUAACUACGUG
Molecule: ribosomal RNA, 465 nt
Filed under: uncultured bacterium
Lineage: Bacteria
Description: partial 16S ribosomal RNA
Rfam family: Bacterial small subunit ribosomal RNA
Source: RNAcentral